ACUCCUACGGGAGGCAGCAGUGGGGAAUUUUGGACAAUGGGCGAAAGCCUGAUCCAGCNAUGCCGCGUGAGUGAAGAAGGCCUUCGGGUUGUAAAGCUCUUUUGUCAGGGAAGAAAGGGUGAAACCUAAUAUCUUUUGCUAAUGACGGUACCUGAAGAAUAAGCACCGGCUAACUACGUG
RNAcentral lists this ribosomal RNA (180 nucleotides) under uncultured Janthinobacterium sp. RNAcentral's name for it is "partial 16S ribosomal RNA". It matches the Rfam family "Bacterial small subunit ribosomal RNA", at positions 335 to 507 of the family's 1533-position model. The record is from RNAcentral. Lineage: Bacteria; Pseudomonadati; Pseudomonadota; Betaproteobacteria; Burkholderiales; Oxalobacteraceae.